This 66-nucleotide transfer RNA is filed under the name Polypterus teugelsi. RNAcentral's name for it is "tRNA-Ser". Lineage: Eukaryota; Metazoa; Chordata; Cladistia; Polypteriformes; Polypteridae. The record is from RNAcentral.
GAGAGAUGCUUGCGCACCAAGGACUGCUAAUCCUUAUUACUUUGGUUAGACUCCAAAGAUCACUCA